GACGUGCUGACGCCAUGACGCCCCGGCCGGUGUGUGUCGGUGUGUGUGUGUGUGAGUGUGCGCGCUCCGAGUGUGUGUGUAUUUGUGUAUCGGCGGUCCCGCAGGUCCCGGAUGUUGCGGACAGUAUGAGGCGAGCGCAGGGGGACGGGGACCAGCAGCUGUCGCCGCCGCUCUCAGGGUGAAGAGGGAACAGAAAUCUUUGCCCCCUGACUUUGGAAAUCUCGUUUAACCUUCAAACUGGCGAUGUCAAGGGUUCCAAGUCCUCCACCUCCGGCAGAAAUGUCGAGUGGCCCCGUAGCUGAGAGUUGGUGCUACACACAAAUCAAGGUAGUGAAAUUCUCCUACAUGUGGACCAUCAAUAACUUUAGCUUUUGCCGGGAGGAAAUGGGUGAAGUCAUUAAAAGUUCUACAUUUUCAUCAGGAGCAAAUGAUAAACUGAAAUGAUUGGCAUCUCUAACACUGUUUAGAAGUCUGGCCUGGAAUUCUGUGCUGUGUGUUUGCGAGUAAACCCCAAAGGGCUAGAUGAAGAAAGCAAAGAUUACCUGUCACUUUACCUGUUACUGGUCAGCUG
Molecule: small RNA, 571 nt
Filed under: Pongo abelii (Sumatran orangutan)
Lineage: Eukaryota; Metazoa; Chordata; Mammalia; Primates; Hominidae
Description: processed transcript
Source: RNAcentral